Long non-coding RNA from Aquila chrysaetos chrysaetos, 4309 nucleotides. RefSeq lists it as uncharacterized. The transcript has 2 exons. Lineage: Eukaryota; Metazoa; Chordata; Aves; Accipitriformes; Accipitridae. The record is from RefSeq and is a predicted model, not a curated record.
CUUUUUCAGAGAAAACUAUUUGAUUUUUUUCUCAUUCAUACUUUCAGGCUGUUGAUGGUACCUAUUACAAAGAUACAAAGUCCCAACACAUAAAAGAUAAGUAACACCUACUCUGUAUUCAAUACUGGGUUGGAAACAAUUCACACAAACACAGUUUGACUAUCCCUUCACCAAAACUGAGCUACAUUUUCCCAACAUAGCUUUGCAAUUUCCCAACAAAAAUCUCCCCCCCCCUUCUUUUUUUUUUUACUAGCUCUUCAGUGAUACUAUGCUGAGUGCAGACUUAUCUACUUGGCACUCAUUCUUUACAGAUACUUGCUACUAACAUUAAGAUUUCUAAAUUACAAAAGUCUUCCAGGGACUUUAUGGGAUCAAGCUAAAAAAUGUAAUUUCCAAUUUCUAUUAUGAUGUGCUAAAAUACAUUAAGAUUGGUCAGGCAGUUUCUUUUUUCGGAAGGUGGGAAUGAGAGGCAAGAGAUGGGAUAUUGAUUUGGGGUUUCAGAUGAAACAACAUUAUAAGAACUCAACCCUUGUGCUCCCUACGUAUGUCCACAGUAAUACGAUCUGGCUAAACAAGUUUUAAGCGAUAAUCUCUUUGGUCUUUAGUGCCAACAGAGGAGAGCGAAGCAGCAAGAUAAGUUCCUGCAAACCCAUUCACUGCAAACACAUAAAAGAUGCGAUUUCAACAGCCGAAGGUAUGGCAUCAACUGGGGAGAUCUAGCUUGACUUUCAGAUCCUAAACUAAAACUGGAAGGAGAAGACCCCUCAAGACCAUUCCCUAAGCAUACAGUACCGCUACAACAGCAGCCGGUGAGAAACACCACGCACCAAACAUCCCAGUACCGUUUUCUCGUCUUUCUUUUAAGCUAAAGCACAUUCGAACAUACAGCUAAGAGGAAGCAGUUUUAACUUGGAAGACGCUCCAGGAGUUACUCUCCUAGAAAAAAAGCAGUGUAAGAAGGAAUACCCAGAGGCCACAUUGUCUCUCCUAAGUCAAGGCUGCCGCCUUGGCUUGAAACACCGACUGCAGACUUUGAUCGGCAAAUUUUACACGCUCUCUGGCACGAAACAGCCAGACGGCACCCGAGCCCUCGAGAUCAUAGCCGGAGCGGGGCAAAGCGGCAAGAGAAUCAUUUACGAGCCUGUUGAAAAGUGAAAUAAAAUCUGAUAGGUCAGCAAAACAGGAAAUACGAACGUGUGGACGUAACACCCAGAGGACACAGCCGAACAGCGCUACAAGAACCAGAGUCAGGGUGUCAUAUCUGUACUGCCAGACCACCCGGACAAGUUCAGGUCAUGGAGAUUUCAAAGGCAGGACUUCAAAAGAAAAGCAUUUAUGUUUUCCAUAUAAAGUGUUGAAGACAGCGGAACAAGUUUGGCAAACAAAGUGGUGCCACGAGAUGCUCAAAGGUAUCUCUGUACCCUUUCUUGAAGUCCACUGAUAAGGCCUAACUGCGAAUUGGAGCAGACUGGGGAGCUGGCAAGGACUUCCAGCGGGGCAUCCAAAUAGCUGAAAAUGGCUCGAUGCAGCUCACACCCUAUGGGCUUAAGAGAAGAACCUGAAUCAUGUCAGUAGGCCUUACGGAUCUUUGGCACUGAUGUAGAGGCCUGCCACUCAUCGUGAUGUGCAACUGACACAAUCACUUCACCCAAGUAUGUGCUGCAGUCCUGUCUCGAGUCUGUGACUCCAGCACACUGGCUACUACCUUGAUCCCGUAGGAGACUCGGUCCGUAGAAGCAGUCAAACCAUAAUCUGUUACGUUUCUAGAUCGGUCCCAGAUGUCCCCAGACAUCUGCAGAGCUCUGAAAAGCAGUGGGCAAUAGUUGCUUCUCUUCUUUGAAUUACAUAAUCAGUGAUUAAAAUAAUGUCAUGUAGAUACUCUGUAUAAGACCAGCCUCUCAAAAUAUUGUAGGGUGAAACAGCAAGGAAUUCCUUCAAGUUCUAUUAAUAAAAAGUUGGUAAAUGUUUUAUCCCUUUCCCCAACUUAUUUAAAGGUGUUUAAAAAGAAAAAACAACAACAACAACAAAAAAAACCAAACCACAAAACAACCUUUUUCCCUAUGAAAAGUUUAUACAAGAGGGAAAGAUCUGAUCUGAUUUACAUUGUCUUGGGUUUGGGGAAUUUUUUCGUUGGAAAUUUGGAUUCCAAAAGUUUAUGUAAAAUGAGCUAUUUCUGUUUGGAAGUGCUAUCAUGCAGGCUCGAGAGAAUGUACUGUUAGUGCCUCAUGUUUCCAUUUUCCUCUAUAGGGUAAGUACCUUGAUCUUGUAUCUUUCUUCUUGGAGAGGAGAAAUGGUGCACAGAUCCCAUAUCUGUCUUGGCCUCCCUCCUUUCCUCCCUAUUUCUUCUUUUCAUUAUCAAGUGUUCCGCUGGGUUUAAAAUCCACCUUCUCCUAUCAAAGUGUUAGUGAAAAUAAAAUAAAAUUUACUUUUAUAAACGCACGAUAGAGUCUAGUGGUCUAGUAAAAGACAAUCUUACCUAUAAUGUGAAUAAUUUGGGAAAAUUUAAAACGUGCUGAAUUACCCUUAAUAGGCUGCUGUGCAAUAGUAGAUUGAGGAGGCAUAGCACAAACUCAUCAGUUCUGCCCUGGAAGAACUAAUAUGAAGAAGGGUUGGAGUAGAAUAAAUACACUGUGCUUUAUAAGAAGAAAAAACAAAGAAAGGUUGUUAGUAUAAUUUGAAAUAAGUCAUGGGUUUAUGCAUCCUUGUUCCCACUGAUAAGAAGAAUAUGUAAAAAAUCUACCUUAGAAUGUGUAAGCAGGAAAGGAACUCUCUCUCUCACUAUGUAUUUACCAAAAGGGAAAGAAAGCUCGUUCCAGCCUCCCUACGUCUGUAGAUGUGCUGUUAGUCACGUUUUAAAUGUCAUAUGGAUCAAGAAAGUUGGGGGUGGUGUAAAAUGGGGCAAGGAAAAAACUUCAAGCCUGUCACUGAAGUGGAAGUCCUUGUAUGAAGAAGGACUGUGAGUCACGUUAGCCCGCUAGCGUUCCGCUCAGCGAUUGAUUUUCUGCUUUGGGCCGGCUUGACUCCCAGACCGUGUCUCUACUGCUGAAUUAAGCGUGGCUGCAAGACAGUGCUCCAGUACUGAAGCCGGCCAGGGCUGUAAGAGCCCACAUCCGUGCUCUUGGCAUCCAGAACGCGGGGACUACACCAAACUGCUGGUUGAAUAGUCCCUGGCCCAGGCUGACUUCCAGAUCAGCUCUGGAAAUUUUUUAAGAGAGGUAAGUGGCCUGGGCCAGGGAUCAAUCCAGCAAUUUGCCAGUAGACUCAGAGGAAUGUCCAGCAAUAUUUCCUUGGGCACCAUUGAUUACUGGCCUAUAUGUAGCCCUGUAGACUCCAGACCAAUCCAGCUAUGCACCCGUGUAGGUAGCUGCUGACCAUUGCUUGGAUUGCAUUCAGGAGCAAGAAGUGCCACAAACCAUAGAGGACAGUGGCUCUGGGCAGUAAAUCAAACUUUGUCACGGCCACUGAAAACAGACAGCAGACUUCACUCUAUGUUUUUAUAUAUUCCUUAAUCUUAUCGUUGCUGAGCACUUUCUACAGUAUGCUUGAACCCCAAAGCAGAGCAGUAAUAGAAGAAUACUAGUUAGUCAUGAAAGCGUAAGUGCCACAGCCAGAGCAGUAAUUUGAGAGAGAACACAAGGAACACCUGGGUUCAUUCAAUUAAAAAAAAAAAAAAAAAAAAAAAAGGAAAAAAAGUAGAGAAAAAUAAUUUUGUAUAAAAAUAGGUUUACAAGGAUUUAAAUUCUUCAUAGGAGAACAGGGAAGGAGAGAGCAAAGAAACAUGUGGCUUUUUUGAAUGAGUCAGGGUUUUGGAAACUUGUUCUCAAUUUGUUGACACAGUAAAAGGUCUUUUCUCCAGAAACUCCAGCAUUUACAUGGUCACUGCUUGCAUUGUUUUUCUGUAUUUUAUUUCUUCCUCAAGGGAUUAUCACUAAGUAGUUAAAGUCCAAAUUGUUAACCUGCUUUGCAAUAAUGUAGCAAUUUUUAAACAAGUAGUGAAGAGUGGAUUGUAAAAAAUGAGAACCAAGUCACACAGUCAUUCUUCACACAAUGUUGUUGGAGAAAAAAAAGCCAAACCAAAACAAAACCCCAGAAAAUAAAAGCAGUAUGUUUUGGCAUUCAUUUUGCAUUGUUUCUUUUCUUAUUGUAACCUACGAUUUUAGAGAAAUCCAUAUUGACCUAUGUAAGAAGAAUAUUUACAAAUUUUAUUCUGAGGAAUGUGCUCUUCAUGUGAUAAAGACGGUUUGCUUUUGUUUGUUUGUUCAAAGAAAAAUAAUAUAGGAAAUAAAUGUUACUUUCAAGUAUGAAACAA